Molecule: long non-coding RNA, 327 nt
Filed under: Musa acuminata (dwarf banana)
Lineage: Eukaryota; Viridiplantae; Streptophyta; Magnoliopsida; Zingiberales; Musaceae
Description: long non-coding RNA (MACU_LNC001619)
Source: RNAcentral
CAGCGCCGCUCGAGGCUUCUUCGGGAGCGAUCGAAAGCGGGGCUCAGUCCAGUUCUUGAUCCAGGGGGCACUUUGGUGGUCGGACUUGAGGGAAGGCAGGGUUUUGUCGCAAGGGUCUCGAUUGGGGUAGGGGUUUCGCGAGGGGAAGGUGGCCGAGGAGGAGAAGCGGCAGCAACGGCAGCGGCGAAGGGGGAGGAGGAGUCGAGGGAAAUGGAGGCGGGAGAAGGAGGCGUGGAGGGAGUCGAAGAGGGUGGUGGAGUGAAGCUGGAGUCCGGCCAUUGGGCCGGGAUUUGGAUGGGAAGAAGGGGUUUUAAGAGGACAUGCGAU